Paramisgurnus dabryanus is the source of this 295-nucleotide long non-coding RNA. RefSeq lists it as uncharacterized. NCBI's taxonomy places the organism in Eukaryota, Metazoa, Chordata, Actinopteri, Cypriniformes, Cobitidae. The record is from RefSeq and is a predicted model, not a curated record.
GUCUUUUCCGUUCUCUCUUCGCACAGUUCGCAGCGUGUAGCCAGCAUGUGGUGCAGGCUUUGAGGACUGGGCGCUGAAAGGAGUGGGUGCUUUCUCACGUGGCGGCCUAAUCACGUAGCUGAUGAAAAUGGUAUUUGAAUGACAUGGGUUUCAUAAAAAUUUAGUGAACGACUUGUAAUAGAUAAGCUUUUUUUGUUUUCUUAAAUGUGUCCAUCACUCCACUGUAUGUAUGUUUUAUUUUGUUGAUUGAUAUUUGUAUGUUUUGUGACUCUGUACAAUAAAGGGUUUUCAAAUA